UGGGGAAUUUUGGACAAUGGGGGCAACCCUGAUCCAGCAAUGCCGCGUGUGUGAAGAAGGCCUUCGGGUUGUAAAGCACUCUUGUCCGGAAAGAAAACUUCUGCCCUAAUACGGCGGGAGGAUGGCGGUGCCGGAAGAAUAAGCACCGGCUAACUACGUGCCAGCAGCCGCGGUAAUACGUAGGGUGCAAGCGUUAAUCGGAAUUACUGGGCGUAAAGCGUGCGCAGGCGGUUUGCUAAGACAGAUGUGAAAUCCCCGGGCUUAACCUGGGAACUGCAUUUGUGACUGGCAGGCUAGAGUAUGGCAGAGGGGGGUAGAAUUCCACGUGUAGCAGUGAAAUGCGUAGAGAUGUGGAGGAAUACCGAUGGCGAAGGCAGCCCCCUGGGCCAAUACUGACGCUCAUGCACGAAAGCGUGGGGAGCAAACAGGAUUAGAUACCCUGGUAGUCCACGCCCUAAACGAUGUCAACUAGUUGUCGGGUCUUCAUUGACUUGGUAACGAAGCUAACGCGUGAAGUUGACCGCCUGGGGAGUACGGUCGCAAGAUUA
RNAcentral lists this ribosomal RNA (548 nucleotides) under uncultured bacterium. Its description in RNAcentral is "bacterial SSU rRNA". It matches the Rfam family "Bacterial small subunit ribosomal RNA", at positions 355 to 896 of the family's 1533-position model. The record is from RNAcentral.